GACAGAGGAUGCAAGCGUUAUCCGGAAUGAUUGGGCGUAAAGCGUCUGUAGGUGGCUUUUUAAGUCCGCCGUCAAAUCCCAGGGCUCAACCCUGGACAGGCGGUGGAAACUACCAAGCUGGAGUACGAUAGGGGCAGAGGGAAUUUCCGGUGGAGCGGUGAAAUGCGUAGAGAUCGGGAGGAACACCUGUGGCGAAGGCGGCCCCCUGGGCCGGCCCUGACACUGAGACGCGAAGGCGUGGGGAGCGAACGGG
RNAcentral lists this ribosomal RNA (253 nucleotides) under uncultured bacterium. RNAcentral describes it as "partial 16S ribosomal RNA". It matches the Rfam family "Bacterial small subunit ribosomal RNA", at positions 524 to 776 of the family's 1533-position model. The record is from RNAcentral.